GCUGAGUGGAGGAAAUAACCAGAAAAGAAAGAAGAGGCUGUUUAUUGUAAGUAACUUUUAUUUUAAGAUCCAGCACAAUAGGAGAGGAGUGGGGAGGGGAGAAGAGGGAGACAGACAGAGAGUGAUGGACUCUUCCAAAGUGAUAAGUGAUUAUCUGGAGGCAGGGAAUAUAAGCUGAAGGGGAAGGAGGCAACACAAACAAAAUGGGAUUUUAUACUUAGUAUAUCAAAAUCGGUCUGUGUGUAUAGAACAGCGGAGCUUGAAAAUACAAGUGUCAAGGUGAGAGAGGAAGGUUUACUUGGAUUCCGAAAGAAAUAUUUGGGGUUGAAAAUGAAAAGGAGGCCAGAAACCUUCAUCAGAAAUCGGAGAGCAACGGUCAGGCUGUGAUCUAGACAGUUUGUCCUCUCUUCUUUUGUCUCGAUUCGCCCCUCGUUUCCUACGGCUGCUGCAACAAAUUACCACAAACUGGACGAUUGAAAACAACAGAAAUGUAGUCUCUCUCUCCCAGUUCUGGAGGCCAGAAUUCUGAGAUGAAUAUCCCUGGUGUCACAGGGCUGUGCUCCCUCUGGAGGCUCUAGCGGAGAAUCUGUUCUUGCCUCUUUCAGUUCUGGCAGCUGCGGGUAUUCUUUGACUUGUGGCCACAUCGCUGCAAACUCUGCCUCCACGGUCACAUUGCCUCCUCCUCUUCUCUCUGUCUUCCCCUCUUCUGUCUGUGUCAAAUCCCCUUCUGCCUCCCUCUCCUGAGGGUACGGGUGAUGGCCUUUAUGCCCCCCCCCCACCAGAUAAUCCAGGAUAAUUCCCCAUCUCAAAACCCUUAAUCGCAUUUGCAAAGAUCAUGUUUUUGGCCGUGGGAGGUAACAUUCAUAGGUUCCCGGGACUAGGAUGUGGAUAUAUUUUAGGGAGGCAUCUUCAGCCUACUACAACCCCAAGCUUUAUACCCAAGGACAGUGAAAAGCAGUACAGCUCACAGGAUCAGUUUCCUCCAAGCGUAGUUUAGCAAGAACCUCGAGCAGGGUGAGGGGAAGGGGAGCAGAAGGCUGGCUCGGUUUGUCAAAUACUUUUUUUUUUUUUUAUUUUUUAUUUUUUCCAACGUUUAUUUAUUUUUGGGACAGAGAGAGACAGAGCAUGAACGGGGGAGGGGCAGAGAGAGAGGGAGACACAGAAUCGGAAACAGGCUCCAGGCUCUGAGCCAUCAGCCCAGAGCCCGACGCGGGGCUCGAACUCACGGACCGCGAGAUCGUGACCUGGCUGAAGUCGGACGCUUAACCGACUGCGCCACCCAGGCGCCCCUGUCAAAUACUUUUUUCAGCCACAGACAACAUUUCCACCCCUCUUGGUAGACUGGCCCCCCAGAUAUCCACAAGGCUGGCCUUCUCUUUAAUUAGGCUCUACAGUAGGGAAUGAUUACGAAAAGGACCUAAAAAAAUACACAAAGGGUGGGUCAUAUUUUAAAUAGGCAGAAACCCAGGAAAAUUUUCUACAAGCACAUUUUUCUAAGGAAAAAAAAAUUCUAAAUAUGCACACAGGUGAACCUGGACUCUAGGGAUGGGGCCCAUUGUACUUACUGUUACAUACCCACCCACUCCCUCUUAAUUCCAACAUGCUUAUAAAAUCACACAAAACCAGGAAGCAUUUUAAACUGCUUUCCACGUGAACAUCCUGCCACAUGCACCUCAAACUCAUUAUGUCUGACGGAGGACCCAGCACCUCACAGCACCAACAUGUUCUUCCUUAUUCGUUGCUCUAAGCUUGAAAGCUGCUGUGUUCAUCUGAGCUAGCAGAUCUUCAGAAUUUGAACCCCCGUGAACUGUAUGCAAACAUUUUUGCAUGUGUGCAUUUGUGCCUUUCCCAGGGGAGAAAUCCCUAGGCUUCAUCAGAUUCUCCACGGAAUCUUUGAGUUCAAAAGGGGAAGAAAGGUCUGCCCCGGCCCGGCACUCAAUCGGAUCUACAAAAUGCACACACAUAGGCAUGUGCGUUUGCAAUAGAGAACACCCACUGCUUUGUUUUUGCGUGCGUUUGUCAAAUUUUCAUGCAUUGUUGUCAUAAGUGUUCAGGAUAGCUGACUGGGAGUCAUAGUAAAAUUUGCCACCAUUCCCUUCCCAAGUAGGGCUACGUGGCCAGGAUCAAGUAUAAAAGUAAGGUUUUGGUCUCUCUGAAGAAAUGGAUUUUGCCCGUAAGAACAAGGAAGCAGGGGACCAUGAUGAGUACUUUUUCUGUGUGGAAGGAUUAUCCUGAUGUGCCAACAUAUAGACCUUCACAUUCCGGGAAUGCUUGCCUCCACCUCCUCCAACUUUGCCUAAUUCAUCCUUACGUCUCAGCUUAAAUACUUCUUCCCCCCCAGGGAAGGCUUCCUCAAUUGUCACUGCUGGGAAAAGAUUAUAGACUCAAGUUUUGAAAUACGGGUCUCGCUGCUCACGGAAUAUCUAUAUCCAGGGAAGGAAACUGACCCCAGCUGGAGACUGGAGACUGUCCCUUUGGUCUUAACUCUUGAAGUACCCCAAGAUUUCCCUCUAACCCCAUCCUUUUCUGGAAUCACUUUGGUUGCACAGGAAAGGUAGCGCUGGUACUCAGCAUUAAACCGAGUACUUUGUACAUUUGAGUUUUAGUUUGUGUUGGGUUUGCAACUUCCUUCUUUGUAUAUUCACACACUUCAGUAGGCUAUUACAUCAGAAAAGAGAUUCAAAUAGACAUUUAGAAAACAAGGAGAGUCACAAUACUCCUUAUGAAAACUAAGAAGACAAAAAAAUUGUCGUUGAAAACAGUCAUGAUGAAGUUUCAAGGAAUGAAACAUUAAGAUUUUCAUUAAAUUGUUCAUAGUUAGAAACUGUUAAGUUCUACUGAUAUUAGAGGGACCAGUUUUCCCUUCACAAUACGUUCUUUAUAUCAGCCCAUGUAUUUUGUUUAUGGCAUCGUCACAAUUACCAUUAUAAUACAUUUGCAUAACUUUAUGUUUAUUGCCUUUCUUUUGCACUUGUCCACAGCUCUGCAAGACAGAAGCUGCCCACCUCGCUAGUGCUUAGCAGUACCAUUUUCAGUAGAUACUAACAAAUAUCGGAUACACAAGUGGAUGGAUUAAUUAAUUCAGAAUUGUGAUUGUUUCCCUUCCCCAGAGAGAACCAUCCUUUGACCAUAGCAGGUAAUUGUCACAUUGGGUAGCAUUCUCGAAAUGGGCUUGUUCCACAUGCCUCUUCUUAAAGCAGGGUUUCUCUACCUCAGCACAAUUGCCCUUCUGGGCAGGAUGGUUCUUUGUUGUGGGGGCUGUCCUGUGCACCGUACGAUGUUUGACAGCAGCCUUGGCCUCUACCUGCUAGAUGCCAAUCUCACAACCCUCCUUAAGUUCUGCCAGCCAAAAGUAUCUCCAGACUUUGGCCAAUUGAACAACAAUGCUUAAAGACAGAAGAGAAGCACAGGAGGUAUUUCUGAAUCUAGGACAAGAUGAAGGAUGAAGAAGAGGAAAAGGCAGCUGCGGUUGAAUGCCCUUAAAGCUAUGCAUCUGGGGCUCUCCUUGAAGAGGGAUUUUGUGUUUGUUUUCAUUUACUAUCAUAAAUCUGUCCUCCCAAAAAACCUUUGCUUUGUAUACUUUGAUUUUUUUCUUUAUUAUUUCUUCAUUUCUUCCUGAAAAUAUCUUUUGAACAAUUCCAACUUUAUUUGUAUUGAACUAAGAAUAGGAAUUUAAUUUAAUUUAAUUUUUUUUUUUUUUUUUUUGUAAUUCAGUAGGACAGUUACCUGAGGCUGAGACAGAUGGGAGCCUAGAAAAGAUUACAGAAUUGGGUCAGCUCGGAUGUGGCUCCCGACACACCUGGGCCACUCUUCUCAGCGUGUUCAGCGACAGCUUCUGCGGGCCUCCUUCAGAGAAGCAGCAAACCACAUGGAAAGGUGACUGGAGGAGCUACCAGGAGUCAAGUUCUUUAGAGGGCAGGUGCUAGAAAUUGCUUAGUAAUCUGUCCGAGUUUCAAGUUUUCUCGGUUCUGGAUCUUUCUAAAUAAAGCAUGAGAGAACAGGGAGUUUAGAAGGGAUAAUGGUUUCUGAUGAAAUAGGAAGAAACACUUUUGCUUUAAAAAUUAAUGCAGCUGUUUCUGCAUCCUGGGGUCCUGCAUUUCAGUGUAGGAAACGUAACUGUUAAAGAAUAUGCAAAGAAUGAAGUUGCAAACCGAACACAAACUAAAACUCAAAUGUACAAAGACACGUCACUUUUCAUUUUCUGGAACAGACCCAAGUUUCAUGAGUCCCAUGCCACAGGGUGGCAGCCAGUUUGGUGGGUGGGGAGAGCACAUGAACUUUUCUAAUUAAUGGUGCGUUUGACUUAAAAUAUUCUGUGUUGACUAAACAUUCUGUUCAUUGAAAGUUGAACUUCCUGUGACAGCUGGGUUUCUCUUUUCCCUUCCUUUCCUCACCGUGGCAUCCAGGUGCAGAGGAAGGCUGAUAUCUCACUGGCCCUC
RNAcentral lists this long non-coding RNA (4439 nucleotides) under Lynx pardinus (Iberian lynx). Lineage: Eukaryota; Metazoa; Chordata; Mammalia; Carnivora; Felidae. The record is from RNAcentral.